CGGAGCGUGGCUCAGCUUGGUAGAGCACCUGGUUUGGGACCAGGGGGUCGCAGGUUCAAAUCCUGUCGCUCCGA
This 74-nucleotide transfer RNA is filed under the name Methylacidiphilales bacterium. Its description in RNAcentral is "Candidatus Methylacidiphilales bacterium tRNA-Pro". It matches the Rfam family "tRNA". Rfam says of the family: Transfer RNA (tRNA) molecules are approximately 80 nucleotides in length. Their secondary structure includes four short double-helical elements and three loops (D, anti-codon, and T loops). The record is from RNAcentral. Lineage: Bacteria; Pseudomonadati; Verrucomicrobiota; Methylacidiphilae; Methylacidiphilales.